RNA transcript from Haliotis rufescens (red abalone), 958 nucleotides. It is a transcript of the gene named 2-oxoglutarate-dependent dioxygenase ecdK-like, with no coding region annotated. Lineage: Eukaryota; Metazoa; Mollusca; Gastropoda; Lepetellida; Haliotidae. The record is from RefSeq and is a predicted model, not a curated record. The transcript has 5 exons.
GUCAUAUGCGGAUAGAGAUGCAAAUAUCAAAGGUCAAGUAGGGACUACUUUAACUGUUUAUAAACAAACAUGGCGUCGCCCUCGUCAUUCGGGGAUCGACACACUCCGUCGCAUGGAACUCGUGUCUAAAUAUCCUGUAUUAGGAAUAAACACUAUGUAUUUAGCUCGCCAAGGCUCGCUUAAUACAAUGUUUAUUCCUAAUGCAGGAUAUUUACCAUCCCCAAACACACUCGCGUGAUAACCUCUAUAUACAUGUAGGUCAAUCAGAAGUCACGUGUUUACCGUUUGACCUGGGAGAGAGGUCAGUUGACAUUUUCAUCGGGCGGCCAUGGCGGCGUCUGCUAUUCCAGUUGUUGAUUUCCAGAAGUACGGACUGAAUGUAGCGGACCCUACGUCCGUGGCGAGUGAAGUUUUGGAGACUACGGCCAGGGAGAUAUAUGAUGCCUUCAGUGCAAUUGGCUUUGUGUACCUGAUCAAUCAUGGCGUUCAGCAGAGGCAGGUGGAUGACAUGUUCACAACGUCCAAGUCCUUCUUUGAUCAACCUGUGGAGGAGAAGAGGAAGUGUGCUCGAGUCCAGAGUGACCUUGGUGAUCAUGGCUGGGUUGCCCUGGAGAGAGAAUCGCUGAAUCCCGAGCGUUCAACUUUACACCAAGGAAUGAUGGGAUUUGUCAGCAUCAUAUCCGUUAAAUGGUAAACAUCUACGACCUGCGUCAUGCUGGGCUUUCCUCCCUAACAAAGAUGGCAAGAACGUCUCCCUGGUCAAGAAGUAGAGCGUCCCCCCUGAGAGCGGAAGGUCGGGGGUUCGAUCUGCGGCCGCGAGCAACCAAUAGACGUUAAAAGUCGACGUGGCCGGCGGAUGUUCCCAAAUUAAAGUCAACUUUCGUAUCCUUCUUCGAUGACUGCACAAAACUGGCAGAGCGAGUCCUUGAUGUCCUGUCUAUCGGCCUCAAACUUCAGG